Molecule: ribosomal RNA, 207 nt
Filed under: uncultured bacterium
Lineage: Bacteria
Description: partial 16S ribosomal RNA
Rfam family: Bacterial small subunit ribosomal RNA
Source: RNAcentral
AGCGUAGACGGUGUGGCAAGUCUGAUGUGAAAGGCAUGGGCUCAACCUGUGGACUGCAUUGGAAACUGUCAAUCUAGAGUACCGGAGGGGUAAGUGGAAUUCCUAGUGUAGCGGUGAAAUGCGUAGAUAUUAGGAGGAACACCAGUGGCGAAGGCGGCUUUCUGGACUGUAACUGACGCUGAGGCUGAAAGCCAGGGGGAGCGAACG